UUAAGUCUUGACGAGUAAGAGGGUCGCGACGGUGAGCGCAGAAGGGUCAGGGCGAGAGCCUGCCUGGAGCCGCCGUUGGUGCAGAUCUUGGUGGUAGUAGCAAAUACUCUAGCGAGGGCCUGGAGGACUGACGUGGAGAAGGGUUUCUUGUGAACAGCCGUUGCACAAGAGUCAGUCGACCCUGAGCCCUAGGAGAAAUCCGAUGACGAUGGGUGGCUUGACAAUAUAUGCGCACACACACCGUGUGAACAUGAAAAUCAUAGACCACAGACUGUGUCUGUCGUUUAGUUGUGCACAAUGUGCUGCUUGCGACUGUACAGCUCCUAUUGGGCAAAAGGGAAUCCGGUUCCUAUUCCGGAACCCGGCUGCGUAACCGUAUCUUUGCGGGCACUUGCUUGCGAGCGCUCGUCGGGGUAACCCAAACUGGCCUGGAGACGCCGGCGGGGGGUCUGGAAAGAGUUUUCUUUUCUUUAUAAGCGUUCGAGUACCAUGGAAUCCUAUAGCAGGGAGAUAUGGUUUGGAACGCGAAGAGCACCGCAGUUGCGGCGGUGUCCGGACCUUCCCCCCGGACCUUGAAAAUCCAGGUGAGGGCCACGCGGAAGUCGCGCCGG
RNAcentral lists this ribosomal RNA (611 nucleotides) under Paracorbulo sirokata. Its description in RNAcentral is "eukaryotic LSU rRNA". It matches the Rfam family "Eukaryotic large subunit ribosomal RNA", at positions 1367 to 1840 of the family's 3401-position model. The record is from RNAcentral. Lineage: Eukaryota; Metazoa; Arthropoda; Insecta; Hemiptera; Delphacidae.